Molecule: ribosomal RNA, 651 nt
Filed under: Salmonella enterica subsp. enterica serovar Indiana
Lineage: Bacteria; Pseudomonadati; Pseudomonadota; Gammaproteobacteria; Enterobacterales; Enterobacteriaceae
Description: partial 23S ribosomal RNA
Rfam family: Bacterial large subunit ribosomal RNA
Source: RNAcentral
GCCGACCUUGAAAUACCACCCUUUAAUGUUUGAUGUUCUAACGUGGACCCGUAAUCCGGGUUGCGGACAGUGUCUGGUGGGUAGUUUGACUGGGGCGGUCUCCUCCUAAAGAGUAACGGAGGAGCACGAAGGUUGGCUAAUCCUGGUCGGACAUCAGGAGGUUAGUGCAAUGGCAUAAGCCAGCUUGACUGCGAGCGUGACGGCGCGAGCAGGUGCGAAAGCAGGUCAUAGUGAUCCGGUGGUUCUGAAUGGAAGGGCCAUCGCUCAACGGAUAAAAGGUACUCCGGGGAUAACAGGCUGAUACCGCCCAAGAGUUCAUAUCGACGGCGGUGUUUGGCACCUCGAUGUCGGCUCAUCACAUCCUGGGGCUGAAGUAGGUCCCAAGGGUAUGGCUGUUCGCCAUUUAAAGUGGUACGCGAGCUGGGUUUAGAACGUCGUGAGACAGUUCGGUCCCUAUCUGCCGUGGGCGCUGGAGAACUGAGGGGGGCUGCUCCUAGUACGAGAGGACCGGAGUGGACGCAUCACUGGUGUUCGGGUUGUCAUGCCAAUGGCACUGCCCGGUAGCUAAAUGCGGAAGAGAUAAGUGCUGAAAGCAUCUAAGCACGAAACUUGCCCCGAGAUGAGUUCUCCCUGAGACUUUAGGUCUCCUGA